GUCUGCAAGUAUUUUUUAACUUUAUUUUUAAAUGCUGUUUUUACAGUGAGGCAGCUUGUAAGUGAAGUGACUGUGUAGGCCACUCCUUUUAAUACAAUAUCUCCCUGGCAACAAGACCGGCAAAAAUAGAAAAAGAGAUUAGAUGACCAAUUGUUUCUUCCAUCUCUCACGUCUUCAAUUCCUUUGCUGGAUGGUUGAUGCAGUGCUCGGACUCAGUGACUCCUCUGGGUGGGUGAAGCUCGGUUCGGUAUGUUGCCUUUGGCAAAAAUCAUUACAUGCAGCUACAAGGUAUGCGAUGCUGAUAUCAUAUGGCUGUAAAAGGAGAAAAAAAAUCUUUGAAGUGCCAGUAGAAAGUCUUGGCUAUCGCAAGACCAAAAUUUCAGUAUUUCCUUAUGAAUAUUUUUAAGCUCUAACUUAAGGGAACAACAAGGAGAUUUUGGGAAGAUCAGACAAUUGAUCCAGGAACCAUGACUGGGAACAGUUCCUUGGAAGGGCAUCCAGCUUGAUAGCCCUGAACAUCAUUCAUGGACAGCACAGCAACACAGAACAGAUGAUGGAGAAAACACAGAUGUAUUAUUGACUGAGACAAAUGAGAGAUGCUCAAAAUCAAGUGUUUGGUUCAAAAUGUACAGUCUUCUAAUUCAUUCCAGUUAGAAGAAGGGAAUACCUUGUGCAGGCAUUCCUGAUAUAACCCCCUGUAACUGUUAUACGUCCUUGCCCUUCUCACUGCUGUAAGGCACCUCUCAGACCCCUACCAGAGUGCAGUUGCUGCACAGUGGGUCAGUGCUUGAUAUGAGAUACUCCUCUACAGGGAACAUAUUUUCAUACUUCUCUGUCUUCACCGGUUAGUAACUUGCUCUAUGAGCAAAAGCUGGUUUUAACCUUAAGAGCCUUAAAUGGUAAGAAUUACUUCUGAGACUGCCUCAACAUCUGUGGCAUAAAGCAACAACAGAGAUCACAGGGAGUGUUCGAGCUAGGAGAGUCCAAUUUAGUUGCCUUUCAUUUGUUUUCACUGGCUCGCACUCUCAGUAGUUCUGAAGCCUCUAAUUCAGAUCUCGCCCAAUUCAAAAGCUCUGGAACUGCUCAUUCCCAGGGCACACUGUAAGUUUCACUUGCUCUCCCCAGUUUUUUAUUUUUCAGUUAAGGCCACAGAAGAAUAUGACAAAAGCAUAUUGCAACAUGAAAUGAGAUCUAUAAAAUAUGUUUUUGUUACUUAUGGCCAGAUUAUUCAGCUCUUGGCAGACACCAACACAGAUAUGGGAAACAGGCAUGAAGGGCAGCCCUAAAUCAUGCAAUUUGCAACCAACCUCACUUGGCAGUGUCAGAAGGUGUCAGCUAGCUGAAUCAAUUAGCCAUACCCCUUUCUGUCAGACAUGCUCAAAGAAUGGCUGUUCUUUGGAGAGGAAAGAAAGGUGGGGAAACCCCACUCAGCUGAGCUAACUUUCUGAUGGCAUAACACCAAUUUAGUCAACAUUAGGUUCUUCAAAAUGCCGGCCUAUUCUUGCAGAUCUUGCUCACACAUGUAUUCUUAUUCUGAAAAACACUCUAAGAGGCAACCAUCUAAUAACUGCUUUGUCCAGAAAGAGCCAAAAAAACUAUUUCCCCAAUCCAUUUUAUCCAUUAUCAUCUUAUGCAGUAAAACGAACCAAACUUAGCCACUUUGUAAUACCAAUCUAGUCAGGUACAACAUGCAAUUAUACAAAUAGGGUUAGUCAAGUUUUAAAUCAAAUGAAAUAAGCAAAUACACACUAUCUCAUUUCUUUUGAGAGUAAGUAUAAGUGAUCCAUUUCUUGCACAAGUCUCAUUCCUGUUCUUCCAAGCACAGCAGAAGUUAGCACUACAGAAUGUGAGUAUGGGGCACUAAGUAUACACACACAUAAAAUCAUUCUAAAAAAGAGUAGGCAUACACACCAAAUCCCAUAGCUGCAACAUCUACCCCAAAGUCCUUGUAUAGAAACAUCAUUUUGGUGGGGUGCAGUGCAACCUUCAAGUUACUUCAGGCACUUUGUUCAGUAGCAUCCCCUAUCAUCCUCAAAAUAAUUGUUGGGCUUUUUUGUGACCAUAAGAGAACCCCACAGCAGAAAGAACUAAAUGGAGAUUUGUGCACACAGAGUAUCUGCUCAAAGGAAUGGUAGCCCUACGCUGUGCGGACAUGUGAUGUUCGUACAUGUUUGCAAUAACAUGGAUAUCGUAUCUGUGCUUCGUUUGUCUUCUUUUCCAGAAAUUUCAGACCACAUGAAACCACAGCAUACACUUUCACUUGCAGUCUUCUGAAUACAAGGGUUACAGCUUUGUCAAAAUUAGAACAAACUGUAAAUGAGAAAAAAAAAAGUUUUCUUAAGAACCUAAGAUCCUUAGAUGAGCUGGCAAUGUGCGCUUGCAGAUCAAAAGGCCAACCACAUCCUGGGUGGCAUCAAGAGAAGUGUGACCAGGAGGUUGAGAAAGGUGAUUCUGCCUCUCUGCUGUGCUCUUGUGAGACUCCACCUGGAGUACUGCAUCCAAUUCUGGUGCUCACAACACAAGAAGGACAUGGAGUUGUUGAAUAAGGUCCAGAGGAGGGCCACAGAGGUGAUCAGAGGGCUGGAGCACCUUCCCUACAGGGACAAAAUAAGAGAGCUGGGUAAGGCUCUUCAGCCUG
RNAcentral lists this long non-coding RNA (2638 nucleotides) under Gallus gallus (chicken). RNAcentral's name for it is "lncRNA (ENSGALG00010009981.1)". Lineage: Eukaryota; Metazoa; Chordata; Aves; Galliformes; Phasianidae. The record is from RNAcentral.